Molecule: ribosomal RNA, 460 nt
Filed under: uncultured bacterium
Lineage: Bacteria
Description: partial 16S ribosomal RNA
Rfam family: Bacterial small subunit ribosomal RNA
Source: RNAcentral
CCUACGGGAGGCAGCAGUGAGGAAUAUUGGUCAAUGGACGAGAGUCUGAACCAGCCAAGUAGCGUGAAGGAUGACUGCCCUGUGGGUUGUAAACUUCUUUUAUAUGGGAAUAAAAUGUUCCACGUGUGGGAUUUUGUAUGUACCAUAUGAAUAAGGAUCGGCUAACUCCGUGCCAGCAGCCGCGGUAAUACGGAGGAUCCGAGCGUUAUCCGGAUUUAUUGGGUUUAAAGGGAGCGUAGGUGGAGUGUUAAGUCAGUUGUGAAAGUUUGCGGCUCAACCGUAAAAUUGCAGUUGAAACUGGCAGUCUUGAGUACGGUAGAGGUGGGCGGAAUUCGUGGUGUAGCGGUGAAAUGCUUAGAUAUCACGAAGAACUCCGAUUGCGAAGGCAGUUCACUGGACUGCAACUGACACUGAGGCUCGAAAGUGUGGGUAUCAAACAGGAUUAGAUACCCGAGUAGUC